Molecule: long non-coding RNA, 1132 nt
Organism: Hevea brasiliensis (rubber tree)
Lineage: Eukaryota; Viridiplantae; Streptophyta; Magnoliopsida; Malpighiales; Euphorbiaceae
Exons: 3
Source: RefSeq, a predicted model, not a curated record
GUUUCACCUGCAAUACACGCUUAAAAAAAUACGAAUAAACAGUAAACAGCGGGCCCUGGGCUCAGAUAAAGAUUAAAGAAUCAGAUUUAAUUUAUCAAGCUAUAAACAGCAGUUGGCGCUGGCAUAAAACACCAAAAUCCAAUCAAUCUAUAGAAUCCAUAACCAGAUACUAAGAGAAGAAGAGAAUGCAAAUCUCCAUUAAUUGCAGCACGAUUCUGCAGCAGAAAUAUUUAUUUGUUUAAUUCUUUCCAUGUAUAAAAACUCUACCACUGCCCAUUUUAUUUCCAUGCAAAAACUGCUCUGAUAUUUUUUUUCUUUCUCUAUAUAUACGUCACCAUUCACCUAGAAAAUGGAGAUGAACUCAUAAGGAAGAGCUCAUGGUUGAUCUUUAUUUGUUUUAUAUUUGACGCAUCUGCAAUUUUAUUCUCUUUUUGAAAUCAGAGGCAGGAUUACAUGGCUCCUCCAAAGUUUGGAAAAUUAUAUUUACAUGGAUUUAAAAAAGAAAAAAAUUAUUGGUGUGCCCCUCAAGAAUUUGGAAACUUUUAUCUAAUCCCAACUCAACUCAAUCAAGCUUUAAUCUAAAACUAAUUGGGUCACCUUAUAGACAUCAACACUGUCUAAAGUUCUAAUUUUAUCUUUAGCCCCCACCCUGUUUGCAACUGAAACUGAUGUGAUGAUGCAGCAAUUAGCAUACUCAAUUUGUUUUUUCUAAUGUUAUAAUUUUUUUUUUUAUCACAUAUACAUAUUCUAUUUUUCUUAGUGAAGAGGAAUAGGGAAGUUCAAUUCCAUGCUGCCUUUGUCAAAGAGCAUUUCUGCAAUAAGUCCAAGGUAUAAAGCAGCUUCUGCAGAGUGAACAGCCAUGAUGAUAAUACUUGGCUCAGCAACAGGAGAUUCUUAUGGUCAAAGGAUUCUAAAUGACACUAGUGAUGAGUUUGAAGAUCGCAUUGGAGGUACUGAUCUAUACAGUGGGGUUAUGAAACUCAGAAAAUGCUGUAUUGAGACUGAGAAUCCUUGGCUUUCCAUGGAGUCAUAGGAGGAGAUAAAGAAAACAGUUUUUUGUUAUGACGCUGGCAUCACAACUGCAGACUAUUUUCAAUUUUAUCAUACUUAUCCAAGUGCGGCAUUAUUGUCA